UGGCGAACGGGUGAGUAACACGUGAGCAAUCUGCCCUUGACUCUGGGAUAACUGCGGGAAACUGUAGCUAAUACCGGAUACGACCUGAAGAGGCAUCUUUUUGGGUGGAAAGAAUUUUGGUCAAGGAUGAGCUCGCGGCCUAUCAGCUUGUUGGUGAGGUAAUGGCUCACCAAGGCGACGACGGGUAGCCGGCCUGAGAGGGUGACCGGCCACACUGGGACUGAGACACGGCCCAGAUUCCUACGGGAGGCAGCAGUGAGGAAUUUUCCGCAAUGGGCUAAAGCCUGACGGAGCAAUACCGCGUGAGGGAUGACAGCCUUAGGGUUGUAAACCUCUUUUAUCAAGGAGGAAGUUCUGACGUGUACUUGAUGAAUAAGCAUCGGCUAACUCCGUGCCAGCAGCCGCGGUAAGACGGAGGAUGCAAGUGUUAUCCGGAAUCACUGGGCGUAAAGCGUCUGUAGGUGGUUUAAAAAGUCCACUGUUAAAAAUUGAAGCUUAACUUCAAAGAUGCUGUGGAAAC
RNAcentral lists this ribosomal RNA (520 nucleotides) under uncultured bacterium. Its description in RNAcentral is "bacterial SSU rRNA". It matches the Rfam family "Bacterial small subunit ribosomal RNA", at positions 96 to 633 of the family's 1533-position model. The record is from RNAcentral.